GGUAGCUGCGACGGUCUGGUUUGCUUCUUCUGUAUUCACACACCCAACGUCGUGGUGAAUCCGGCCACUCGAUGGCAUCGGAGUUUUCCUUUUUCCUCCCUGCAACGCCUUAUCAUCGACAAAGGACCCCCCUUUGCCAGCGGCGACCUAACUUAUGAGCUUGGAUUUGGUAAAGACAAGUUGAGUGGUACUUACAAGCCUGUUUGGUUGUAUAAUUCAUCCGAAUUUGGACUAGACAAUGUUACCACUUGUGAAGUUUUCGACUUUAGCACCCACUCCUGGAGGAACCUUGUCGCUUCUUCUCCUUAUCCUAUUCUCAGAUUCCAGAAGCCAGUCUAUUUUGACGGGUCACUCUAUUGGCUCACCGACUGUGUAGAAACAAAGGUUUUGUCUUUCGAUCUCCACACUGAAACUUUCCAAGUCAUCUGUAAAACUCCCUUUGCUGAUGCACCUCGCCCAAGUAACGUAGUCUUGUUCAUCCUUGAUGACUGUUUGUGCGCUUCUGAGAAAACGUGGCCAACGCAAGUCAUAUGGUCUUUGGAUUCUUCUUCAAAGACAUGGAAGCAAAUGUGUUCUAUAGAUCUCACCAAUACUUUUCCUUUGUUCGACAGAUACGGUCCCAUACCCUUACCCGUAGCAAUCCUGGAGAAGAACAAGUUAUAUCUCCAUGGUCGUAACUACUUGGAACCACUCAUGCUACAUGAUCUCAAUACCAAAUCUUUUGAGGUUGUCUCCACACCUACCACCCCCGGAGAUUGUAUUUAUUAUUUCGAAAGUUUGUUCUCUGUUUAAUCUUUUAUGUUUCCUUAUUUAUGUAUCAAUCAACCAUUUGUAACCUGAACAAAUGUAUUUGGAUACAUAAUAUGUAAAUAAUCAAACCUGAAGAAAAAUGAAUUGAAUUUUAAAAGGAUAAUUAUAGAUUUAAUGUUGAGUCAAUCUUAUAAAGAAAUGGACUUUUUAGCUUUAUCCAAAACACGUACCAAACUGGGGAAUGUUGAGUCAAUCUUAAUUUAAUGUCGCUUAGUUAUAGGGAUGCACGUAGCUUUAUAUGGUUCAUCUGAGAGUAUUGUUUUGUCGACGUCUGAGAGUAUAAUAAUUUCAGCGUUCUUAUAAAAGUCUAAAAAAAAGAAACAAAGAAAAAACACCAAGUAAUUGUAAUUUGGUUUAGGUACACACUGAACAACUUAUAAACCAAUAGUUAAAGAAAGGUCUACCAUUACCUUACUCCACUCUUGAAAACCCUUUAAGGAGUGGAGACGACUGAGAAACAAUUAGCUGAGGUAAUUUAAAGAAAAACAUUUGUUAUAAAUGUUCCUUCACUGAGGUUAGACAAAGAUAAGAGCACCUUUAUCGCAGAACACAAUGGGUUUCUGCAUGAAAUAAGGGUGUGGAUCCUACGUUUUUUAAAAAAAAUGGUUACCAAAGUCGCUAGUUAUGGAUCGCUCUUGGCCAAUUUGUUACACUAUUUUAUGGACCCCACGACACGUGGCGGCCCGCGAUUGGUUUCGUUUUAAUUUUUUUAUUUUUAAAUCAGAUAAAACAAAAAAAAAUUUAGAAAUCCUCACCCGAUAAUCAUGCUCUAAGAUGAAGGACUGGUUCUCAGAAUCUGUAAAAACUGCAGGUAUUGGUGAAAGAAAAUCCAUUAAAUGUAUCCAAACAGACAUAAUGCAGUGUUCCAAGUCUCAUAUGCUUCCAAGCCAGAAGGCACAAUUGCCCAUGUCCUAAAGGUACUACUAAACUUACUAUAAGAGGAUUUGCUCAGAUAAAUCUAAGUAUAUGCUAUCUUUUGCUAAACCACACAAAUAUUAUGGAUUCUCUUGUAUAAUUUGUAACCUUUUUGGUAACCUUUAUGGUAAUAAUAAAAGGCGUGCAAUGUUAUUGUCCAAUAUGUGAUGAUCCUAAAAUGUUUAAUAAUUUUUUUAUUAAGAAUCUUUAAUUAAGAGACUAGCAUUGGAUCUCAUAAAUGUUGAAUUUUUUUAACUAAGUCUCUUAACUAACAUUUACUAUUUAAAAAGUACUUAAAAGACCUUAAAGGAGUCUUUGGGUUAAUGAUGCUUUAAACGCCUUAACACUGUCUUUAGGGGGGGUUAUUGGGAGAGUAAUUUGUGUAGAGUUUGUGGAUUCUUAAAGUUGAUAGAUUUUAAAAGUAAUGUAGACUAUAAAAAUCAAAAUACAUUGACUUAUAAAAUUUGAUAAUCAUUACUACAGAUUUUCAUAAACUUUGUUACCUUAUUUAUAUCUUUCCUUUUAUAAAGUAAUAUGAUAUUUUCUAUUUUUUUUCCAAAAAAAAUCUCUUUUAAUAUGACAUGAUUAUUUGUUUUUCUUGUUGCAAAACAUGUUUUAAAAAAAAAACAAUAAGGAUACAGUAUAAAAUUAUGUUAAUAUGAUAAGAUGAACAUUAUGUUAAGAAAUUUAACUUUAUUAUUUUUACAAAAAAAACUUUCUAUAUUGUGUUUGCUUAAUUGAUAUGUUAUUUUAGUUUCUAUUUAAUAACAAAACAACAAAAAUGAAAUAUAAUUGUGGACAUAUAAUUUGGAUGGAAUGUGCAAUAGAUAUUUGGAAGGAAUAACUAUGUUGUUUUCCGAAGAAAAAUAUAACAUGGAUUUUGAAAAUCUCAUGGAUACAUAUGAUAUUUUGAAAGUUUUGUCUUGUGAGUAAAAAUGUAGAGAAUUCAUCUCCCAAUAACACUAGAUUUAGUUAGAAUUAGAGAAUCAAUAAAAACCAAACUUUUUGAAUAACAAAAGAUUUGAAAGGAAUUUGUGAAUCCUUAAACCAAUAACAAGGGAUUUGUUAAGAUUUUUAUAAUUCAUGAACCAAUAACAAUAGACUCUCAGAAUUUCCAAAAUUGAUGAGAAUUUGCUCCCCAAUAACCCCCCCUUAAUCCUAAAUCGGAAUCCAAUAUUAAAAAAAUUAUAUUUGCAUAAUAAUCUUCAAAAUCAAUCAAAACUCACUAAUAAAAAUUACAAACAAUAUUAUCUAAUAAAAAUACAAACUAAAUAAUCUGCAAGAAAAGUUUAACUAACUCAAUUGAAUUAGUGAAUUUUAAAGAAGAAUUAUUUUGCUUAGAACAGCAAAAUUUUCUAGACCACUGCCAAGAGGAAAGAGUGGUUGGCACAAACGGUUAGUUUUCAGGUAAUACGCGAAAAUAGUCGAGAAUCAGUGAAUGUUUUUAUGACUCAACAUAAAUGAUAUACAUGUGAUCAUCACUGACAUUUGUAUUUAAGUUGACAUACCGUAUAUUAUGUAUAUAUAUAUAUAUAUAUAUAUAUAUGUAUAUAUGCAUUUACAAUAUCCAAAUGUUGAACAGUGAUUAGAUGAAAGUCUAGUGUAUAACGAGAACAAAAUGGUUUGGACACGAGAAGAGACAAAAUUUGUCUAUGUGAAUUUAGGCUCUGAAUGGUGACUGCGGUUUGAGCGGUGCGGAACAAGCGGUUCAACUGCGGUGCGGUUCUAACAGUUAUAAAAAUAUAUAGAUAUAUAGUAUACGUAAAGAUUUUUGUUAUUGUUAACUGCGGGGCGGAGCGGAACGAUGGUCACCAUUCGAAGCCUUAGAAGCAAAAUAACAGUAAAUACCCAUGAGCCAUGAUCCCUCUAUCAUUUCACAUACAGUGAUGACACACAUAUUCAUAUAAAAUGUAAUCAAAUCAAAUAGUGUUUAUAACUUACAUGUCAUGUACGUAACUGUAACUCUAACCCCAGUCCAUUACUCGAAUUAUUCUUUUUUUAGUGCACCAUUACUCGAAUUAUUUGAAGUGGAUAUUUUACAUUUGUUCGCUCACAUGAACUCGUGUCCACAUUUGUCUCAUCCACAUUUUUUGUGUCCAUUUUUCUUCAAUCCACAUAUUUAAGUUUUUAAAGAAAACUCAGAUGGUGGUUAAACUAUAUUCACCUACAUUUUCGUAAUGAUUUUCUGAAUGGUAAUCAAGGGAACGAAGAGGAACACUGAUGUUCCUUGUUACCAUUCGUGAGGAAUUCCCUUUUUUGUAGAGAAUUAUAAUGCAAAUUUGUUCCUUGUUAAUUUUGAUAAGGAACCCUUAUUUCUCAUCGUUCCCAAAAUUUUAUUCCUAUUCAUUCUUUUCCUAAUCAUUCCUAAUGUUCCUUGAUGGUUACCAGUCACACCCGGUUUAAAUUAGAAACAAGCAAGAAACUAUAUGUUUUGUGAAAAACGGUAAAAACAAUUUUGAUUGUGUGUUCAUUUAACAUGAAACAAAAGUUUAAUAUAAAAUUAACAAUAUAUUAUUUAUUAUAACUUGUCCACAAAAAAUAAAUUCACGUCUAUUGUCUACUAUAACUUAUAUAUAAGAGUUUUUUAUUUUUUCAGCUAUUCAUGUUCAUAUUUUUUAUGUCCGUACAUUUUAUAUAAUUUUAAUAUAAAAAAAUUAUCUAUGAAAGUGGAUUUUAAAAUGUAGUAGAAAAAAUUACAAUUUAUUGUAAUAAUUAUAUUUAUUUUAUAUAUUUUUAAUUUUAAGAAAAAUCAAAUAAAAACAUUGAAUGAAAUGAAUAAUAAUAAUAAAUUAAAAUAACAAAAAACUAAUAGCUAACAAUACGUACUAUUAACUAAACACAACAACUAAACAACGAUUUUCCAUAGCUUCGUUUUGUUGAGAAGAUGAUAUUUUUGUCUAGAAAGCUUCUUGAAAAUCGUGAAUGUGUUAUUCAAGUAAGAUGUGUCUUAAAGUAAGCUUGGACAUUCGGGUCGUCGGAUCGGGUUCGGAUCGGGUCCUUUCGGAUCUGGAUAUUUCGGGUCUAAAAGUUUAGGAUCCGAUAGGGUAAUUUCAAAUUUUCGAUUCCGGGUCGGUUCGGAUCAUGCCGGGUCCGGAUCGGGUCGGGUCUUAGAUAGUUAGAUCCAUUCGGGUAAUUAGAAUUUAUCAGUUCGGAUUUGGUUUGGUUUCGGGUCGAGUUCGAUCUAAAAAAGACCUUAAAAUACAAAAAAAUAUCUGAAAAUAUUUAUAUCCAAAAAUAUUCAAAAUUUUAUUCAAAAUUUGUGUUUUUAUUAUAUUAAAAUGAGUAUAUAUAUUAAACUAUGCGAUAUACAACAACAAUUUGUUGUCUCUUAGUGGUUGAUCUCCAUGUUCUCUACACAAAUAACCUAUCUUUGACUCUCCUUUGAUGCAUUUUAUUUAAUUUACAUUAUUAAUUCAGGUACUUAUCGGGUUUCGGGUUUGGGUCGGGUCGGGUCCAAGAUCCGCGGAUCCUCUGCAACAAGACCCGAUAGGAUAAUUUUAUCGGGUCGGUACCUAUUCGAACCGGGUUUUUUCGUGUCGAUUUCGGGUCGGGUCUUUGGGUCCGGAUAAAAUGUCCACGCCUAUCUUAAAAUGUAAAUAAACUCCAUAAAGUGUCCUAAAUGUGUAAUGCCUCUUUUUUCUUUUAUUUUCUGUUUUAGUUGAGGUUAAAAUGGUCUUUUCAUAUUCAUCUUCUACAUUUCGUCGCAUGUAACCCUAAGUACACGCAGCCACUCAAUUUUGUUUCUAUCCUUUUGUUAUAAGUUUUCUUCCGAUUAUUUCAUUCAUUAUUCAUCAAAAAUCCAUAGAUCCGUAUGAAAUACAUGGAAUUUUAACCGCAAACUAACUAAUUACGUUGUUCUGGGAUUGAGAUGCGACCUAUCCCUCUAGUGAGAGCCUCAUUCAGAAAUCGAUUCUCAUUUGAUGCGAUCUAUGGCGUGAGGUGAUUAUGUUUAGCUUUUAUUCAUUAAUUUUGAUUUCAAAUUGAUGAGAUUUUCGAUAAUUAAGAUUCGACUGGGAGAAAAAAGUUUUGGAAAAUUCCUUUUCUCUUAAUGUAAAUGUUUCCUUUUUUCCAAUGCUUACAGGUCGGCUGCUCUGCAUAUAUAAAGACACUCUCAGAUCAUCAAUAAGGUGAGAGAGGCAAGAAAGAUACAAUGUUGAAAAAAAGACAUGGCUCAAUUUUGAAAAGACAUGGCUCUGAUAAGAGAAGACGUGGCUCCAGCUCCAGCUCCAGCUUGAGUGUGGAAUUGGAACUGCUACCACACGAUGUGAUAGAGCUCAUACUCGAGAGACUUCCCGUGGAAUCUCUGCGGAGAUUCAGGUCUGUGUCCAAGAAGUGGAUAUCCACAAUCGAUUCCCCUCGUUUCCAGUCAAGGCAGUUGAACCUUCGCAGGCAAUCACGAGGUCAUGAUCUCCUUUUCGUAGCCUAUUACGAGGAUCCUCCUGAUGAUGUAGCUCAACAUGCCUUGGGCUCUUCUUCUUCUUGCAUAUACCGUACUGUCAAGUUCCCUUUUCCGAACGUCUUGCUUUGCUAUGGUAGCUGCGACGGUCUGGUUUGCUUCUUCUGUAUUCACACACCCAACGUCGUGGUGAAUCCGGCCACUCGAUGGCAUCGGAGUUUUCCUUUUUCCUCCCUGCAACGCCUUAUCAUCGACAAAGGACCCCCCUUUGCCAGCGGCGACCUAACUUAUGAGCUUGGAUUUGGUAAAGACAAGUUGAGUGGUACUUACAAGCCUGUUUGGUUGUAUAAUUCAUCCGAAUUUGGACUAGACAAUGUUACCACUUGUGAAGUUUUCGACUUUAGCACCCACUCCUGGAGGAACCUUGUCGCUUCUUCUCCUUAUCCUAUUCUCAGAUUCCAGAAGCCAGUCUAUUUUGACGGGUCACUCUAUUGGCUCACCGACUGUGUAGAAACAAAGGUUUUGUCUUUCGAUCUCCACACUGAAACUUUCCAAGUCAUCUGUAAAGC
Molecule: long non-coding RNA, 6690 nt
Filed under: Brassica rapa (field mustard)
Lineage: Eukaryota; Viridiplantae; Streptophyta; Magnoliopsida; Brassicales; Brassicaceae
Description: long non-coding RNA (BRAP_LNC007421)
Source: RNAcentral